ACUCCUACGGGAGGCAGCAGUGGGGAAUCUUAGACAAUGGGGGAAACCCUGAUCUAGCCAUGCCGCGUGAGCGAUGAAGGCCCUAGGGUUGUAAAGCUCUUUCGCCUGGGAAGAUAAUGACGGUACCAGGUAAAGAAGCCCCGGCUAACUCCGUGCCAGCAGCCGCGGUAAUACGGAGGGGGCUAGCGUUGUUCGGAAUUACUGGGCGUAAAGCGCACGUAGGCGGGCUGGAAAGUUGGGGGUGAAAUCCCGGGGCUCAACCCCGGAACUGCCUUCAAAACUACCAGUCUGGAGUCCGAGAGAGGUGAGUGGAAUUCCGAGUGUAGAGGUGAAAUUCGUAGAUAUUCGGAGGAACACCAGUGGCGAAGGCGGCUCACUGGCUCGGUACUGACGCUGAGGUGCGAAAGCGUGGGGAGCAAACAGGAUUAGAAACCCGGGUAGUCC
RNAcentral lists this ribosomal RNA (444 nucleotides) under uncultured bacterium. Its description in RNAcentral is "bacterial SSU rRNA". It matches the Rfam family "Bacterial small subunit ribosomal RNA", at positions 335 to 796 of the family's 1533-position model. The record is from RNAcentral.